UUUGUGAAAACCCGCAUAAUCAAAAACCAUUGCUGAAGCGUAUCCCCAAAUAGGAUAGUGAGCACUGUUUGUCCACCACGAAAAGCGAAGAGAUAUCUUCCAGUAAACGCUGUAGUCGCAGGUGUUUGUCAAACUAUAAUGAAAGUAUCUCCGAGCAGAACGAUGUUGAAGUCCACAUUGCACGACGACAAAUGCAAAACAGCGCCCCUCGCAGCCUGGAAGAAUACAAAUAUGACCAGUCACAAAAAGAAAUGUGCAAGAUGGCUGGCAAGUGAUGAUA
Long non-coding RNA from Wyeomyia smithii (pitcher-plant mosquito), 280 nucleotides. RefSeq lists it as uncharacterized. NCBI's taxonomy places the organism in Eukaryota, Metazoa, Arthropoda, Insecta, Diptera, Culicidae. The transcript has 3 exons. The record is from RefSeq and is a predicted model, not a curated record.